CGCCCCUGCACCCCGAGAGCGCGGUCACGGCCGCCCGGGCCCCGGAAACUGCGCACGACGCCCCCGGGCGCUUACGGUCGUCUGCUCCUGGCUCCCGGGCUCGGCGGCAGCAGAGUCUGAGAAGCAUUAGUCUGGGUGAAAGUACGACCCAUUCAAAGUGGUCUUCAUCGCACUCGUAGAGAACGGACAUGAGGGCACGGAUGGGGCGAAGGAUGCAGUUUCAACACCCGGCGUCCUCAAGAUCACAGCCAGCAGACCAGAACCAGGGCCUGUUACAGGGAUAUUAAACUUCUCACUGUCACCCUGUAUACAACUUCAGGAUAAAGUUCACCCCCUUGGCCUCCAACCUUACUGCUCACCCUGGCCCAAGAACUCUCCAUUUCAGUGAAGAGAGGCUGUUCCUGGCUAACAAACACACUCAAUUCAGUCACAUCUCCAACCUUUGCUCGUGCAGCAUGCCUGGAAAGGAUGCUCUCCUGCAUCCAAACAUGAAAUCCUACUGUUCUUUAAUUCCACACCCUCCUACAAAAGCCUUCUCUCAUCCCUGCAGUGUCUGGCAUCUCUGUGCUUCUUGAAAACGUGCAGCCUGUGAGAUCCCUCCAUCCCUCCCCCACAUCUUUCAGACAGAAGCUGCUCUGCCUCUGGCCAUUUUACCAAGGGACUCAAAUUUGUUACUCUUCAAACUGCAGUGAUGAUGAAAACAUUCUAAAAUUAGAUAUUGGUGAUGGUGUAUCACCAUAACUCUGUUAAUAUACUAAAAACUACUGAAUUGUACACUUUAGUUUUUUAUAUAAA
This is a long non-coding RNA of Aethalodelphis obliquidens (Pacific white-sided dolphin), 795 nucleotides long. RefSeq lists it as uncharacterized. NCBI's taxonomy places the organism in Eukaryota, Metazoa, Chordata, Mammalia, Artiodactyla, Delphinidae. The transcript is spliced from 3 exons. The record is from RefSeq and is a predicted model, not a curated record.